GGCAGUCGAGGGGUAACAGGGUCUUCGGAUCGCUGACGACCGGCGCACGGGUGNGNNNCGCGUAUGCAACCUACCUCUAACUGGGGAAUAGCCCCGAGUAAANCGGGAUUAAUACCCCAUAACAUUCAUCAUUCGCAUGUUUGAUGAAUUAAAGUUCCGACGGUUAGAGAUGGGCAUGCGUGACAUUAGCUAGUUGGUGAGGUAACGGCUCACCAAGGCAACGAUGUCUAGGGGUUCUGAGAGGAUUGUCCCCCACACUGGUACUGAGACACGGACCAGACUCCUACGGGAGGCAGCAGUAAGGAAUAUUGGUCAAUGGACGAAAGUCUGAACCAGCCAUGCCGCGUGCAGGAUGACUGCCCUAUGGGUUGUAAACUGCUUUUGUAUAGGAAGAAACUUCCGGACGUGUCCGGAACUGACGGUACUAUACGAAUAAGGACCGGCUAACUCCGUGCCAGCAGCCGCGGUAAUACGGAGGGUCCAAGCGUUAUCCGGAUUUAUUGGGUUUAAAGGGUGCGCAGGCGGGAUGAUAAGUCAGUGGUGAAAACCUACAGCUCAACUGUAGACCUGCCAUUGAUACUGUCAUUCCUGAGUACAGUGGAAGUGGGCGGAAUGUAUCAUGUAGCGGUGAAAUGCAUAGAUAUGAUACAGAACACCGAUAGCGUAAGCAGCUCACUAUACUGAAACUGACGCUCAGGCACGAAAGCGUGGGGAGCAAACAGGAUUAGAUACCCUGGUAGUCCACGCCGUAA
Molecule: ribosomal RNA, 752 nt
Filed under: uncultured Bacteroidota bacterium
Lineage: Bacteria; Pseudomonadati; Bacteroidota
Description: bacterial SSU rRNA
Rfam family: Bacterial small subunit ribosomal RNA
Source: RNAcentral